UGCCAAAUCACCAGAAACCGAGAAACCGCUCCAACCGCCCCGACCCAGGACGGCAACGAAAACACUGCGUCCAGGGCGUGAGAGACGAGAAAAAUCCACAACAUGGGAUGGGGACUACGACCUGACAAUGGCUCGACAUGGAGCGCAGGAAAAACCCAACGCACCCAGGGCGAGCGGACGUGUAAUGUUAAGGCACUAACUACAGAGUGUGUAGACGCACACACCAACACAGUAGCAGCAGCAGCAGAGGGAGACGAUCAUGUGUGAAAUGAGAUCUCCUCAAAAUCAGUGGGAGUCGCGGCCAUAAAGCACAUCAAGCUUUUCAGCUUUAAGAUAAACCCAUUCGAGGACGUCCAAACACGGAGCCGAGUGUGUCCUCAGCCAACAAUCCAACCGACUCUUCAUUCUCUCAACAUGUAAUUUAGACUCAAAACUUGAAGCGCUUGUAAAAAUAUGUCUUUUUUUUUUUACAGUGGCAGAUUAUCUGUGCCAUAUAUCAGCAGAACCACUAAAUCCAAUUCUAUUUAUUCUUCGUCAUUUGCAAUAGAAUUUCAACAAAUCUCCCCCGAGGCCUCCCCAGCGUGUGUGUAUCUCAUCGGCCCCUGCAUUAAUGCGCUAGCAUAAAUCCAGUGUCAUUACAUAUUGUACAAUAUCUCAGAAAAUAUAUUGUUUUCUUCCUUGUACCCCAACAUCUAACUAUAUGCUGAAUUUUAUUUGUAUGCAAACUCCGAGGGGCAAGGACGGCUGUGAUGGCAGACAGGGGAUUUAACCAGCACCUUCCUCAGUCUGAUGGAUGGGUGCUUCACCGCAACCCAGACGGGGGGAAGAGAUAGAUAGAGAGUGGCAGUGAGGACUCAGGUAUUACCAAGAGAAUGUGGGGCAGAAGAAAGGGGAUUGAUGAAUUAACCAGAUAAAGAUAGAGGUUUGCUAGGACAGUGGGAGAUCGGGGUAAAUGUACGAAAGAGGAAACAUUUACAGGGCUCAAUACCACAAGUUCCCAAACAGAGAAGAUGAGUCUUAUGCAAUGUUGCACGAUGACAUUCAAACAUGAUGAUUGUAAAUUCAGCAGUUUUGGGCAAAGUUUCUGUUUGGGUACACUUUCACUCAAAAUGAACAUGGCAGGCAGGCUCUUAAUGAACACGUCCAUGUAGACUGCCAUAUUAAAGACACUCUUCUUUUGGAAGACAAGAUAGCAGUGUUUAAAAUUUUGCUUGCAUGGACGAUGUGAGAGGGUUUUUAACAAAUUCACGAUGAUGAUGUUUUAUUUCUAUUUGAGGAACAGUUUGACAUUCUGCGUCGAUAAGGUCGGUAACUACUCUUCUCAAACAAGGUGCUGUAGCCAGGUGACUUUUAGGAUAAACGGUCCGUGUAUGUUUUAGUCAUUGAAUUUUCAGUUCAGAAACAGAUAUUAAAAACAAAAAAUGAGCGGUUAUUUGAUUUUCAUUUUAAAAUUCAAAAAUUAAAAUUGGCCUCUUGGCCCCCUUUAUCAGGGCUGAGAAGGGAUAAACAAACCUCUAAUUUUAUGCUCUUACUUUGAAAACGGAAACUUCCGGUUGCAAAAUAUAGAGACAGAGCAUGAAAAUGGUCUGGUUUUUAAAGUUUUCUUUGUCCCUUCUUGACCCCGAUAAAGAAAAAUGCCUUGAAUUUCAGUUUUAAUUAUUGAAUUUUAAAAAGAAAAUCAAAUAACCACUUCUGAAUGGAAAAUCAAAUGACCAAAACAUACUUGGUUUGUUUAAUUCAAGUGAAGAUUAGUUUUAGAGGAUGCUAUGUGCAGAUUUGUUCUUGACCAGAUAUAGAGUUCCGUCUUUAUUUGCUGUCCACAGAUUAAACAACGAGAAAAUGUGUGUCACUGAGCUUCCAGUGUGCAUUUUAUUGGUCUUUGUGCUAAACUAAGCCCGUUUCACAUUUAUCAAAAAGAUACGUACAAAAUAAAUCAUUGUAUUUUCCAAAAUACCAAACCAUUCUUCAAGUGAGACGCAAGCUAAUUAGGUCAAUCCGGAGCUAAUAGGCGCGAAGUCUAUCGAUGGAAAACUUUUAUUAUCAAUUAUUAACAAGAUUCCAAACAAAGUGGGAAGUAGGAGGACAUAUGGAAGACAGCAGGUGGCUGAGAGAGUGGGAAUAGACGCAGGGAUGAUAGGAAGCAGGGAAACAGGGCUUUAGCAGCAGGGGAGGCAGAGGGCACGGGAGUUUGGGAUUGUCUAAUAAAUCGAGUGAGUGACUCCACUCGUUUCUGCCUUUGGGACAAAUCUAGUUGCGCUCACCGGCGCAGCCGAGCAUCUGGGAAUUGUGGGUAAUGAGAGAUUAUUUUCCCCUGUAGUGUUUGCUCAUCAUCAUUGCCAGCCCCCCCAGCCUCCCGGGAAGCAGAGACACACACACACACACACACACACACACAAGCAGAAAGGAAUGGCGCUUACUUGCAGGUGCAUGUUACGCACACAUAACACACACAUCCGACACAUUGGCGCGCUGUUGCUUUCAUGGAUAAGGUCAAACUGCGAGGUUUUAUUGUUCAAAUCUGCUGCUGGCGCUAAUUUUGGAUGUCACACUCAGUGAGACACACACACACCAUUCGGUGGCUCCCUCUUUUAUCCACAGGUCCUUCAUGCCUCGGGAUGCCAAUCUGUCUGAUGGCAGGUCCAACGUGUAUCAAACCGGAACCCUCCUUCGCCCUUCCUCUGUCUCUUUUCUGCCUCAGCCGGUCCGUGGUCCUUCUUGCCCCGGAGCCAGGCUGCGGCCGCAAGAAGCGGGCUGGUGGUCCCAGCAGGGGCCGGGGCUCAGACACACCAUUUGCAUGAGGGAAUUAAAGUCAUUACAGCUGGAAGGGCAACGGAGGACGAGUCCUUCGCUCUGCUGAAGAGAGAGGAGGUUUGUGAAGUUGUGCGAGGGAAGUAACGGACUAAAUGAGGAGAUCUGUUCAUCUGGAUAGUUCAGAAAGGCGUCCAAUGUUCAGUAAAUGGAUGUUUAUACUUAAUAAAAAUAAUUAAACCUUG
Molecule: long non-coding RNA, 2993 nt
Organism: Mugil cephalus (flathead mullet)
Lineage: Eukaryota; Metazoa; Chordata; Actinopteri; Mugiliformes; Mugilidae
Exons: 3
Source: RefSeq, a predicted model, not a curated record